Molecule: ribosomal RNA, 396 nt
Filed under: uncultured bacterium
Lineage: Bacteria
Description: bacterial SSU rRNA
Rfam family: Bacterial small subunit ribosomal RNA
Source: RNAcentral
UCGGGAAUUUUGGGCAAUGGGGGAAACCCUGACCCAGCAACGCCGCGUGAAGGAUGAAGUAUUUCGGUAUGUAAACUUCGAAAGAAUAGGAAGAAUAAAUGACGGUACUAUUUAUAAGGUCCGGCUAACUACGUGCCAGCAGCCGCGGUAAUACGUAGGGACCAAGCGUUGUUCGGAUUUACUGGGCGUAAAGGGCGCGUAGGCGGCAUGACAAGUCACUUGUGAAAUCUCUGGGCUUAACCCAGAACGGCCAAGUGAUACUGUCGCGCUAGAGUGCAGAAGGGGCAAUCGGAAUUCUUGGUGUAGCGGUGAAAUGCGUAGAGAUGUGGAGGAACACCGAUGGCGAAGGCAGCCUCCUGGGCCAACACUGACGCUCAUGCACGAAAGCGUGGGUAG